Molecule: long non-coding RNA, 289 nt
Filed under: Naja naja (Indian cobra)
Lineage: Eukaryota; Metazoa; Chordata; Lepidosauria; Squamata; Elapidae
Description: lncRNA (ENSNNAG00000009063.1)
Source: RNAcentral
GGGGAGGAGAGGAGAAGCGCAGGGGAACUUCCUCUUCCGGAUGCCUCAUGGGAGGAAGACGGUGGGCAGGGCGGCUUCUGUGCUCUUCCCAGGAUGGAAGCAGCAGUUGGCAGGAUUAUCCUCAUUUUGCUGGGAUUAGAAGACUCCAAAGAAUUCCAAGAUUCUUUAUUUCACCAACACCAUUCAAAAAGACAGGUUAUAAUCUUUUUCAGUAUGUCACAAUCAUGUGAUACCUUUCCAGGACACAACCAAGUGUGUGGAGAAACCAAGAGGCUCCUGGCCAGUCUUA